UGCCUUUUGGUUUUCUUUUCCAUUCAGAGUGAUAUUCUCUUACAUCUGGGAAACUGUUGCAAUGCAUCAGUCAAAGGACAUGAGACCUCUUUUUUAUGUGUCUAGCUAUCAAACGUGGGUCAUAAAAUUUGUGUAACCAGUAGCCUCAUAUUUUUAUAGAAUAAUAAUUUUAUUGCUGCUUUAACCAGUGGCCUCAUGUUCUUUUCUGGAAACUCCUCAUUUUUGUAUGUGAGAUAAAUUAUACAUUAUAUGCUGAAUAUAUACCCUUGCUUGUAUCUGUAUGUAAGUGAAUCUAUAUAGGCUUUGUUGUAUCUGAACUAAAGAUGUUAGCCUUCCCUUGCUGACGUGUUUGCUGAGUGAAGUCAUGAGUGCAAAUUAACGAAAGAAACAUCGCUCCGAACAUGAAUCAGUCUGAUUGAACCUUGGUUCUGCUGUUUACUAUGCUGCAGUUAAACUAGUGUUUUUUUUUCGUUGGGCAGGUUAAGUAAGAACCUUGUUAAUCAUCGUGACCAGUUAUGGUUCUUGUUGAUUUUCUCCCUGGCCAUGAGUAGUUGAACUGUGUUUGCCCAAGUUGUAGUUGAGCUUGAGCACACCUCUGGAACUGGAAAAUGUGGGAGUUGAAUAGCAGAAUUAUUAUGCAAUGCAUGUGUUUUUGUAACAUGCUUGAUUAGGCUACUUGGAACCUAAGAGUUGCAGGGCUCUUCAACAUGCAUGCCAAAGGAUUCAACAGCUUUGAGAUAUUCGAUCUCAUGUCACCAACGUUCAGAGCAUGGACCAACAGAAAACCAAAUAACGUGAGAAGAUUUUAAAGAUAUUGAACUCAUGUCCGCCAUGUUCAGGGCUCUUCUGGAUCCUGAAGAUUAAUUAAAAUACCAAUAGUUGUCUUGCUCUGCAUUAUCCUCUGAACAGUCAAUCUAUUCAUCCUUCUGUGCAUUUGCGUUGUGUCUUGAUUAUUAUACAACUGGUUUUGUUUUAAGGCUGUAAUCGAAGGAUCAUAACAGUUAUACAACCAUGAAGUGUAAUACUGUCCCCAUGGAUUAUCCUCUGAACUUCUGAA
This is a non-coding RNA of Aegilops tauschii subsp. strangulata, 1057 nucleotides long. The record is from RefSeq and is a predicted model, not a curated record. NCBI's taxonomy places the organism in Eukaryota, Viridiplantae, Streptophyta, Magnoliopsida, Poales, Poaceae.